GAUGAACGCUGGCGGCGUGCUUAACACAUGCAAGUCGAACGGAAAGGCCCUGCUUUUGUGGGUUGCUCGAGUGCCGAACGCGUGAGUAACACGCGAGUAACCUGCCCUUGACUUUGUGAUAACUCCAGGAAACUGGGGCUAUUACCGCAUAUGAUAUCCUGCUGCACGUGGGGCGUUGGAAAGUUUCGGCUGUUGGGGAUGGACUCGCGGCUUAUCAGCUUGUUGGUGAGGUAGUGGCUUACCAAGGCUUCGACGGGUAGCCGGCCUGAGAGGGUGACCGGGCACAUUGGGACUGAGAUACGGACCAGAAGGCUACGGGAGGCAGAAGUGGGGAGUAUUGCACAAUGGGCGGAAGCGUGAGGCAGCAGCGCCGGGUGCGGGAAGACGGCUUUCGGGUUGUAAACAGAUGUGGCAUGAGACAAAGCGUGAGUGACGGUAAUGGGUAAAGAAGCAACGGCUAACUACGUG
RNAcentral lists this ribosomal RNA (468 nucleotides) under uncultured bacterium. RNAcentral describes it as "partial 16S ribosomal RNA". It matches the Rfam family "Bacterial small subunit ribosomal RNA", at positions 28 to 507 of the family's 1533-position model. The record is from RNAcentral.